RNAcentral lists this long non-coding RNA (278 nucleotides) under Rattus norvegicus (Norway rat). Its description in RNAcentral is "long non-coding RNA NONRATT013916". Lineage: Eukaryota; Metazoa; Chordata; Mammalia; Rodentia; Muridae. The record is from RNAcentral.
GGACGUGUGGGUCAGGUGCCUCAGUGACCACGCCGUCUUCGUGCAGAGUUACUACCUGGACCGUGAAGCUGGCCGAGCACCUGGUGACGCCGUCCACAAGAUCUACCCGAGUGCGUAUAUAAAGGUCUUUGAUUUGCGGCAGUGUCACCGGCAGAUGCAGCAGCAGGCGGCCACCGCGCAAGCCGCAGCUGCUGCCCAGGCGGCAGCUGUGGCAGGAAACAUCCCUGGUCCUGGGUCCGUAGGUGGAAUAGCCCCGGCCAUCAGUACGUGUGCCUUUG